UAACAGGUCUGUCCAGCGUCAUUACCUAC
This 29-nucleotide non-coding RNA is filed under the name Mus musculus (house mouse). The record is from RNAcentral. Lineage: Eukaryota; Metazoa; Chordata; Mammalia; Rodentia; Muridae.